GCCCUGUGACUUAAGAGUUUAACGGCCGCGGUAUCUUGACCGUGCGAAGGUAGCGCAAUCACUUGUCCUUUAAAUGAGGACCCGUAUGAAUGGCAUAACGAGGGCUCAACUGUCUCCCCCCUCCAGUCAAUGAAAUUGAUCUUCCCGUGCAGAAGCGGGAAUACCCCCAUAAGACGAGAAGACCCUAUGGAGCUUUAGACAUCAAGCAGCCCACAGAAAACAAUCUACACCAAUGGCUUCGAACAACGUGGAACCCUGCUGAACUGUCUUCGGUUGGGGCGACCGUGGGAUACAAAAAACCUCCCAUGAGGACCGGGAAAAACUUCCCAAAACCAAGGGCUACCGCCCUAAGCAACAGAAACUCUGACCUUAAUGAUCCGGCCCAUUGGCCGAUCAACGGACCGAGUUACCCUAGGGAUAACAGCGCAAUCCCCUCCUAGAGCCCCCAUCGACGAGAGGGUUUACGACCUCGAUGUUGGAUCAGGACAUCCUAAUGGUGCAGCCGCU
The sequence is a ribosomal RNA, 507 nucleotides long. It matches the Rfam family "Bacterial large subunit ribosomal RNA", at positions 1861 to 2563 of the family's 2925-position model.